This 511-nucleotide ribosomal RNA is filed under the name uncultured Glomus. RNAcentral describes it as "SSU rRNA". It matches the Rfam family "Eukaryotic small subunit ribosomal RNA", at positions 569 to 1084 of the family's 1831-position model. The record is from RNAcentral. Lineage: Eukaryota; Fungi; Glomeromycota; Glomeromycetes; Glomerales; Glomeraceae.
AGCAGCCGCGGUAAUUCCAGCUCCAAUAGCGUAUAUUAAAGUUGUUGCAGUUAAAAAGCUCGUAGUUGAAUUUCGGGAUCAAUAUGUUGGUCGUGCCUCGGUACGUACUAGCUUAUUGGUUUCUCCUUUCUGAAGAACCAUGAUGUCAUUUAUUUGGUGUCGUGGGGAAUCAGGACUGUUACUUUGAAAAAAUUAGAGUGUUUAAAGCAGGCUCACGCUUGAAUACAUUAGCAUGGAAUAAUGAAAUAGGACGUUUGAUUCUAUUUUGUUGGUUUCUAGGAUCGACGUAAUGAUUAAUAGGGAUAGUUGGGGGCAUUAGUAUUCAAUUGUCAGAGGUGAAAUUCUUGGAUUUAUUGAAGACUAACUACUGCGAAAGCAUUUGCCAAGGAUGUUUUCAUUAAUCAAGAACGAAAGUUAGGGGAUCGAAGACGAUCAGAUACCGUCGUAGUCUUAACCAUAAACUAUGCCGACUAGGGAUCGGAUGAUGUUAAUUUUUAAUGACUCAUUCGGC